GCUCGGUACGUGUCACGAGCGGCAGCCCCGUUCAGCCGCUCCCGGAGGGCGCGCGGCUCUGCCCGGCCGUGACCGGGGCCCGCAGGGGUCUCUCGCUCGCCCGCUCGCCCCGAAAGGAGCCGGCCCCGAGCCGGCGCGUCCCGCCCCGCCCGGCCCUCGGCGCCCUCGCGAGCUGAGCGCGGCCCGGCCAGCAGGGGGCGCUGGCGCUCACCGGCUGGGCGCGGGGGCGGUCCGGCGCGGGGGCGGGGCCGGUGGGGGCCGGUCCUUCCGGCCGCCCUCUAAGGGCCGCCCCGCGGGGCCCGGGCUUCCGGUGGCGCGUGCGCGGCGGAGCGGAGGUGGGAGAGGUGCGUGGGGCGGCCGGGUCGCGAGGGGUCUCUUUGCGGUGCCGGGGCCCCUCUGCGGCCCGGCGUGGGAAGCCCGUGGCCGGCGGAGACUGCUCGGAGCUGGGCGGGGAGCGCCGCGGCAGUCCGGCCGCAGGCAGCCAUCCCCUGCGGUGGCCGGCAUCCCCUCGGGACUCCUGGAGGCCUGGCGGCUCCCGAUCCUCGUCUGCGGCAGCCGCCUGAGAGAGCAGCGCGGCCGUAGCCGGGGGCCGGAGAGCGCUGGUGGGUGCAGAUGGAUGAGUCGUGCAGGGCAACGGAGGAGAGCCCAGGGGAGCGCUGUAAGAAGGUGACAGCCCUGCGAUGCUGCGGUGCCUGCGAGGUGAUGCCGCCGUGCUCGUUGCUGCUUCCUGGUAAGGAAAGGCCUCCUCCGCUCCUGCUGCAGCGUGGUGGUGUGUCGGACACGAUUCCCUGUGUCGGGUGAGGCCUAGGGCUGCCGGUGAGGUGAGCGAGCCCCUUUGGUGGGUGCCGGGGUGUCUCCUUGUGUGCCUGCACUACUGGGGCUGGUGGGAUGGGAAGCUUCAAACGACCUGCCGAGGCAGGCUUCUGGUAUGCUAAAGGCGAGCGGGUGAGGGCAGCCCCAGGAGUUACCCGGGAGCUGAUAGAAGGGAAGAGGGAAAGGAGGAGGAGGAUGAUGACAUUUUCCCCCUGCCCAGGGUGCAGAAGAUAGCCGACUCCCCAGCUCACCAGAGCUCCCCCUCAGCCUCCCCUGGCCCCACUUGCCCCGUGCUCCUGCCCCCAGCUCCGGCACGAGCGAGCUAGGCUACGUGCCUAGGAAGCCUCAUCUCGUAAGAGCUGUGAG
Molecule: non-coding RNA, 1179 nt
Organism: Phalacrocorax carbo (great cormorant)
Lineage: Eukaryota; Metazoa; Chordata; Aves; Suliformes; Phalacrocoracidae
Source: RefSeq, a predicted model, not a curated record